RNAcentral lists this ribosomal RNA (933 nucleotides) under uncultured fungus. RNAcentral describes it as "eukaryotic LSU rRNA". The stretch from base 544 to 933 matches the Rfam family "Eukaryotic large subunit ribosomal RNA", at positions 1 to 386 of the family's 3401-position model. The record is from RNAcentral. Lineage: Eukaryota; Fungi.
GUGUUUUAUGGCACUUUUUAAUCCAUAUCCACCUUGUGUGCAAUGUCAGUUGUUCUCUUUUUUGAGAAUGACCAAACAUCAACUUAAAUUUUAACUCUUUGUCUGAAAAAUAUUAUGAAUAAAAUAAUUCAAAAUACAACUUUCAACAACGGAUCUCUUGGCUCUCGCAUCGAUGAAGAACGCAGCGAAAUGCGAUACGUAAUGUGAAUUGCAGAAUUCAGUGAAUCAUCGAAUCUUUGAACGCAUAUUGCGCUCUUUGGUAUUCCGAAGAGCAUGCUUGUUUGAGUAUCAGUAAACACCUCAAAGACUUCAAUUUGUUUUGAAUGGCUUUGGACUUGAGCAAUCCCAACACCAGUCUUUACGAUCGGUGGAGGGUUGCUUGAAAUGCAGGUGCAGCUGGACAUUCUCCUGAGCUAAAAGCAUAUUUAUUUAGUCCCGUCAAACGGAUUAUUACUUUUGCUGCAGCUAACAUAAAGGGAGUUUGACCGUAUUGGCUGACUGAUGCAGGAUUUCACAAGGGUCGGCAACGAUUCUUGUAAAACUCGAUCUCAAAUCAAGUAAGACUACCCGCUGAACUUAAGCAUAUCAAUAAGCGGAGGAAAAGAAACUAACAAGGAUUCCCCUAGUAACGGCGAGUGAAGCGGGAUGAGCUCAAAUUUAAAAUCUGGCUGGUUUACUAGUCCGAAUUGUAGUUUAUAGAAGCGUUUUCGGUGGCAGCCUGGGUAUAAGUCCUUUGGAAUAGGGUAUCAUAGAGGGUGAGAAUCCCGUCUUUGACUCAGUGCAUGCUACUAUGUGAUACGUUUUCAAAGAGUCGAGUUGUUUGGGAAUGCAGCUCAAAGUGGGUGGUAAAUUUCAUCUAAAGCUAAAUAUUGGCGAGAGACCGAUAGCGAACAAGUACCGUGAGGGAAAGAUGAAAAGAACUUUGAAAAGAGA